Molecule: small nuclear RNA, 109 nt
Organism: Pongo pygmaeus (Bornean orangutan)
Lineage: Eukaryota; Metazoa; Chordata; Mammalia; Primates; Hominidae
Source: RefSeq, a predicted model, not a curated record
GUGCUUGCUUUGGCAGCACAUAUAUACUAAAAUUGGAACAAUACAGAGAAGAUUAGCAUGGCUCCCAAGCAAGAAUGACACUCUAAUUCGUGAAGCAUUCCAUAUUUCU